This 293-nucleotide ribosomal RNA is filed under the name uncultured bacterium. Its description in RNAcentral is "partial 16S ribosomal RNA". It matches the Rfam family "Bacterial small subunit ribosomal RNA", at positions 334 to 644 of the family's 1533-position model. The record is from RNAcentral.
UAACCCUACGGGACGCAGCAGUAGGGAAUAUUGCUCAAUGGGGGAAACCCUGAAGCAGCAACGCCGCGUGGAGGAUGAAGGUUUUAGGAUUGUAAACUCCUUUUGUGAGAGAAGAUAAUGACGGUAUCUCACGAAUAAGCACCGGCUAACUCCGUGCCAGCAGCCGCGGUAAUACGGAGGGUGCAAGCGUUACUCGGAAUAACUGGGCGUAAAGAGUGCGCAGGCGGGGUUGUAAGUCAGAUGGGAAAUCCUGUAGCUUAACUACAGAAAUGCAUUUGAAACUAUGAGUCUAG